RNAcentral lists this transfer RNA (72 nucleotides) under Corynoplastis japonica. RNAcentral's name for it is "tRNA-Thr". It matches the Rfam family "tRNA". Rfam says of the family: Transfer RNA (tRNA) molecules are approximately 80 nucleotides in length. Their secondary structure includes four short double-helical elements and three loops (D, anti-codon, and T loops). The record is from RNAcentral. Lineage: Eukaryota; Rhodophyta; Rhodellophyceae; Rhodellales; Rhodellaceae.
GCCCUUUUAACUCAGUGGUAGAGUAUAUCCUUGGUAAGGAUAAAGUCACCAGUUCAAAUCUGGUAAAGGGCU